RNAcentral lists this ribosomal RNA (439 nucleotides) under uncultured bacterium. Its description in RNAcentral is "partial 16S ribosomal RNA". It matches the Rfam family "Bacterial small subunit ribosomal RNA", at positions 338 to 795 of the family's 1533-position model. The record is from RNAcentral.
CCUACGGGUGGCAGCAGUGGGGGAUAUUGCACAAUGGGCGAAAGCCUGAUGCAGCAACGCCGCGUGGGCGAUGAAGGCCUUCGGGUCGUAAAGCUCUGUCCUCAAGGAAGAUAAUGACGGUACUUGAGGAAGAAGCCCCGGCUAACUACGUGCCAGCAGCCGCGGUAAUACGUAGGGGGCUAGCGUUAUCCGGAAUUACUGGGCGUAAAGGGUGCGUAGGGGGUUUCUUAAGUCAGAGGUGAAAGGCUAGGGCUCAACCGUAGUAAGGCUUUGAAACUGGGAAGCUUGAGUGCAGGAGAGGAGAGUGGAAUUCCUAGUGUAGCGGUGAAAUGCGUAGAUAUUAGGAGGAACACCAGUGGCGAAGGCGGCCUUCUGGACUGUAACUGACACUGAGGCACGAAAGCGUGGGGAGCAAACAGGAUUAGAUACCCUGGUAGUC